RNAcentral lists this ribosomal RNA (497 nucleotides) under uncultured bacterium. RNAcentral describes it as "partial 16S ribosomal RNA". It matches the Rfam family "Bacterial small subunit ribosomal RNA", at positions 28 to 507 of the family's 1533-position model. The record is from RNAcentral.
GAUGAACGCUGGCGGCGUGCCUAAUACAUGCAAGUCGAGCGAACAGAUGAGGCGCUUGCUCCUCUGACGUUAGUGGCGGACGGGUGAGUAACACGUGGAUAACCUACCUAUAAGACUGGGAUAACUUCGGGAAACCGGAGCUAAUACCGGAUAAUAUAUUGAACCGCAUGGUUCAAUAGUGAAAGACGGUUUUGCUGUCACUUAUAGAUGGAUCCGCGCCGCAUUAGCUAGUUGGUAAGGUAACGGCUUACCAAGGCAACGAUGCGUAGCCGACCUGAGAGGGUGAUCGGCCACACUGGAACUGAGACACGGUCCAGACUCCUACGGGAGGCAGCAGUAGGGAAUCUUCCGCAAUGGGCGAAAGCCUGACGGAGCAACGCCGCGUGAGUGAUGAAGGUCUUCGGAUCGUAAAACUCUGUUAUUAGGGAAGAACAAAUGUGUAAGUAACUAUGCACGUCUUGACGGUACCUAAUCAGAAAGCCACGGCUAACUACGUG